CUAUUUUGAAGCUAAAUGGGACUAAUCAUAAACAAUGGGUUGAAUCUCUCAUGAUUAAUCUUACCAUCAUGAAGUUGGACUUGGUCUUGAGAGAGGACUCUCUUCCUAAGCCCACUGUUGAAACUUCUGUCGAUGAAAAGAAGCUUCAUGAUGAUUGGGAGUAUUCUAAUCGGUGUUGUUUAACGAUCAUGAGGUAUCACAUGGAGGACUCUAUACAUGAUAGCAUUGCAAAGACUGAGACCGCUAAGGCAUUUCUAGAAGCUAUCAAUAAGAAGUACAAAAAGUUCUCCAAGAAUGAAAAGAAUGGGCUUCUAAGCACUCUACAUUCCACUAUUUAUGAUGGUAUUAGUGGAAUUAGAGAACACAUUGACAAGAUUGUGGCAUGUUAUUACAAGAUCAAGGCAAUUGGUAUGGAACUUGAUGAGGACUACGUUGUGUAUUUUAUAUGGGGACUCUUUCCUCACAGUUUGACUCCAUUAGAUCCAGUUACAAUGCUCAGAAAGAACAAUGGAUCAUAGAGGAGAUGACUGCCAUUCUUGCUAAGGAAGAGGAUGACAUGAAAAAGAGAAUGGAAAGAAGUGUGGCUAUGGUAACGAACCAGAACAACAAUGGUCAGAAAAGAAGGCCUCUACAAAAGAAUACCAAUGACAACAAGCCCUUCAAAAAACAUAACACGGGCAACAAAGGAAAAGGGCAAGGAGCCCCCUUAGCUUCCAAUGUUUCCAAGAAUGAGGGUUUUAAAGGAAAAUGCAAUUACUGCCAAAAGUUUGGGCACAAGAAGAUAGAUUGCCUGAAGCUCAAGGCCAUAAUGGAAAAGAAAAGAGAUGACAAGUUGAAGGGAACCAACUAGUAUGGAGCACCAUGUAAUUGCAGCUUACCAAUGGACAAUUUUUGGAGUUGUAUGUAGUUGCAUACAUACCUUCAAUUAGAAGGAAUUUAGUAUCUA
RNAcentral lists this long non-coding RNA (946 nucleotides) under Olea europaea subsp. europaea. Lineage: Eukaryota; Viridiplantae; Streptophyta; Magnoliopsida; Lamiales; Oleaceae. The record is from RNAcentral.